CCACAAAGACCUUGAUCUUAGAACGAAGACAUGACUUCUACCGCCUUUUUUUGAGAGAGAGGAACUUAUACCACCUUUUUUUAGAACUAGAACUAGAACUUAUAACACCCUUUUUUUUAGAGAAAGAACUUACAACACCCGAGUGUAGCCUGUGCGUGCUGUGCCCCUAGCUACUGAAGGCCCGGCCCAACAAGCAGCAAAAGAAAAGAAAAGCCC
This 216-nucleotide long non-coding RNA is filed under the name Brachypodium distachyon (stiff brome). RNAcentral's name for it is "long non-coding RNA (BDIS_LNC001227)". The record is from RNAcentral. Lineage: Eukaryota; Viridiplantae; Streptophyta; Magnoliopsida; Poales; Poaceae.